AACGAACGCUGGCGGCAGGCCUAACACAUGCAAGUCGAACGAAGUCUUCGGACUUAGUGGCGCACGGGUGCGUAACACGUGGGAAUAUACCUUACGCUGGGGGAUAACAUCGGGAAACUGAUGCUAAUACCGCAUACGCCCUUCGGGGGAAAGAUUUAUCGGCGAAAGAUUAGCCCGCGUCCGAUUAGCUAGUUGGUGAGGUAAUGGCUCACCAAGGCUCCGAUCGGUAGCUGGUCUGAGAGGAUGACCAGCCACACUGGGACUGAGACACGGCCCAGACUCCUACGGGAGGCAGCAGUGGGGAAUAUUGGACAAUGGGCGCAAGCCUGAUCCAGCCAUGCCGCGUGAGUGAUGAAGGCCUUAGGGUUGUAAAGCUCUUUCACCCACGACGAUGAUGACGGUAGUGGGAGAAGAAGCCCCGGCUAACUUCGUG
This 433-nucleotide ribosomal RNA is filed under the name uncultured bacterium. RNAcentral's name for it is "partial 16S ribosomal RNA". It matches the Rfam family "Bacterial small subunit ribosomal RNA", at positions 29 to 507 of the family's 1533-position model. The record is from RNAcentral.